GACGAACGCUGGCGGCGUGCUUAACACAUGCAAGUCGAACGGAAAGGCCCUGCUUUUGUGGGGUGCUCGAGUGGCGAACGGGUGAGUAACACGUGAGUAACCUGCCCUUGACUUUGGGAUAACUUCAGGAAACUGGGGCUAAUACCGGAUAGGAGCUCCUGCUGCAUGGUGGGGGUUGGAAAGUUUCGGCGGUUGGGGAUGGACUCGCGGCUUAUCAGCUUGUUGGUGGGGUAGUUGCUUACCAAGGCUUUGACGGGUAGCCGGCCUGAGAGGGUGACCGGCCAAAUUGGGACUGAGAUACGGCCCAGACUCCUACGGGAGGCAGCAGUGGGGAAUAUUGCACAAUGGGCGGAAGCCUGAUGCAGCAACGCCGCGUGCGGGAUGACGGCCUUCGGGUUGUAAACCGCUUUCGCCUGUGACGAAGCAUGAGUGACGGUAAUGGGUAAAGAAGCACCGGCUAACUACGUG
This 468-nucleotide ribosomal RNA is filed under the name uncultured bacterium. RNAcentral describes it as "partial 16S ribosomal RNA". It matches the Rfam family "Bacterial small subunit ribosomal RNA", at positions 28 to 507 of the family's 1533-position model. The record is from RNAcentral.